RNAcentral lists this ribosomal RNA (495 nucleotides) under uncultured bacterium. RNAcentral's name for it is "partial 16S ribosomal RNA". It matches the Rfam family "Bacterial small subunit ribosomal RNA", at positions 28 to 507 of the family's 1533-position model. The record is from RNAcentral.
GACGAACGCUGGCGGCGUGCCUAAUACAUGCAAGUCGAACGCUGAAGGAGGAGCUUGCUUCUCUGGAUGAGUUGCGAACGGGUGAGUAACGCGUAGGUAACCUGCCUGGUAGCGGGGGAUAACUAUUGGAAACGAUAGCUAAUACCGCAUAAGAGUAGAUGUUGCAUGACAUUUGCUUAAAAGGUGCAAUUGCAUCACUACCAGAUGGACCUGCGUUGUAUUAGCUAGUUGGUGAGGUAACGGCUCACCAAGGCGACGAUACAUAGCCGACCUGAGAGGGGGAUCGGCCACACUGGGACUGAGACACGGCCCAGACUCCUACGGGAGGCAGCAGUAGGGAAUCUUCGGCAAUGGACGGAAGUCUGACCGAGCAACGCCGCGUGAGUGAAGAAGGUUGUCGGAUCGUAAAGCUCGGUUGUAAGAGAAGAACGAGUGUGAGAGUGGAAAGUUCACACUGUGACGGUAGCUUACCAGAAAGGGACGGCUAACUACGUG